Callithrix jacchus (white-tufted-ear marmoset) is the source of this 301-nucleotide unclassified non-coding RNA. It matches the Rfam family "Metazoan signal recognition particle RNA". Rfam says of the family: The signal recognition particle (SRP) is a universally conserved ribonucleoprotein. It is involved in the co-translational targeting of proteins to membranes. The eukaryotic SRP consists of a 300-nucleotide 7S RNA and six proteins: SRPs 72, 68, 54, 19, 14, and 9. The record is from Ensembl. Lineage: Eukaryota; Metazoa; Chordata; Mammalia; Primates; Cebidae.
GCCGGGCACAGUGGCACAUGCCUGUAGUCCCAGCUACUCAGGAGGCUGAGGCUGGAGGAUCGCUUGAGCCCAGGAGUUCUGGGCUGUAAUGCACUAUGCCGAUCAGAUGUCUGCACUAAGUUCAGCAUCAAUAUGGUGAUCUCCCAGGAGCAGAGGACCACCAGGUUGCUUAAGUAGGGGUGAACCGGCCCAGGUCGGAAAUGGAGCGGGUCAAAACUCCCGUGCUGAUCAGUAGUGGGAUUAUGCCUGUGAAUAGCCACUGCACUCCAGCCUGGGCAACAUAGCGAGACCCCUGUCUCCU